CAGAGUUCUGCUAUACACAAAUACGCAUGUUUCAAUGGGUACUUCCAGGGACCGCAUGGAGAUCCCUUAAGUUGAAACUGGACAAACAGAACAGUGGAUGGUUCUAGCUGAGAUCUGGGAUAGUUUCUGAAUUCAGAAGUGUUCACCAGCCACAUUGCAUGUAUUAGCUGGAACCAUAUAUGAAACUACGAUACUCAGCUGUUUCUAACCUACAAACACAGUGAUUACAUAUGGCUCAACUUAAUGUAUAUGAAGCCUAGAAUGUCAGAACUGAUAGAGCCUUAGAGACUUUCAAGUCUAUUUCAUUAUGUUGAAGAGGAAAACGGAUGAGGGAGAGAAGUGUCCAGCCUAAGAUCAUACAUCACCUUAAGUGGUAGAAUCAGGGCUGCUUCUCUUCCUACUGGACCAUGUACCUGUCUCUCAUACUCUGCUUCUUUUAAUAUAAUAAUAAUUUAGGUGCGAUAUCAGUCUUUUUUGUUUUUGUUUUUGUUUUUUUUUGAGACAGAGCCUUGCUCUGUCACCCAGAAUUGUAUGACCUUCAGGCCUGGAUCCACUCCUGUGUAGCACAGAGUUUUGAAAAGCACUAGGCAAGGAGACCAGAGUUCCUGGGUUCCAAUCAUGGCACUAUGCAGGCCCAAAUGGGCAGCACAGCACUUGCCCUGCUUUCUUCACGGGAGCGGGGGCAGGGUGGUGGUGGUAAAUCAUAUCUGUGAUAUGGGAUAGUCAUCACUGCUUCUCAUGGCUGAAGAUAACACAUAAAAAAUGUGUCCCCAGAGCAUCUUCCUGUCUCAUUUCCCUCUGCUACAACUUCUUCUC
Molecule: long non-coding RNA, 816 nt
Filed under: Homo sapiens (human)
Lineage: Eukaryota; Metazoa; Chordata; Mammalia; Primates; Hominidae
Description: HSALNT0178212
Source: RNAcentral